GAAUCGCUGGCUCCGCUUAAGGGUGACCAGCGGCGCCCCUGCUGGAUGGCGGCCAAACUACAACUCUAAAUGAAGGUCAAAGUGGUCGUUAUCAGUUAAUGAGAAGCUGCUCCAUCAGCUUCUCAGCUGAAUGAAAGUUAAGAGAUAAAUUCCUCUGAGUUAUGAAGCUUGACCCAAACUGGAGCAUCAACAGGACAAUGACAACAAACCCAGACUGGAAUCUAGAACAGCUGCAGAAAAACAACCAAAGUGCUGCAACAGUCCAAGUCUAGACUUUAACCUGGUGGAAACUUAAAGUCCAUCAUCUUGGACUUUAAGGGCAGACCUUGGUUUCCUGCUGGCUGGCGCUCAUCGUCGGGGAUUGUAGAGCUUCAUCCUGGUCCUGCUCGUCCUCU
Molecule: long non-coding RNA, 395 nt
Organism: Gambusia affinis (western mosquitofish)
Lineage: Eukaryota; Metazoa; Chordata; Actinopteri; Cyprinodontiformes; Poeciliidae
Exons: 3
Source: RefSeq, a predicted model, not a curated record